Molecule: long non-coding RNA, 535 nt
Filed under: Homo sapiens (human)
Lineage: Eukaryota; Metazoa; Chordata; Mammalia; Primates; Hominidae
Description: MAP9 antisense RNA 1
Source: RNAcentral
GCUCUAUUCCAGAAGCAGUCUGGAGCACAAAGAAUCCCUAAUCACUGACAUUAAGAAAGAAGAAAAAUAUUCCUAGGACGAUCCUGGAGAGCAAAGGUCAUCAGCAGUCACUUGACUUUCCUUGGAUUUCUCAACUGCAGUAGUCACAUGGUCUGCUGAAAAUGAAUUCUCUUUAUUUUCAUCUGAUUUCAAGGAAUUAUGGUUUUCAGUGAUUUCUUCAUUUGGAUCUAUUUUGAGACAGAGUAAUAGCAUUAAAACCCCCUUCUGAAUUAAUAAGGUAACAUGGGCUUAAAAUCACUCAAUUCACUAUUGGAUUCUUUGGAGCUGUUAAUCUGUUCAGUGAAAAGAACAAGAACUUUGGAACUCAAGAUUUAACUAUGGUUCCAUCACUGACCUUGGGCAUUUGUUGCUGAAACGCAAAGUGUGACAAGCCAAUGGAGAGAAAGAAGAGACACAGACAUGCAGAGAAAACACAGGGAAGAAGGCCACAUGGGAUGAAGGCAGAGAAGGGAAUGAUGCAGCUACAAGCCAGCUA